This 2930-nucleotide ribosomal RNA is filed under the name Escherichia coli. RNAcentral describes it as "bacterial LSU rRNA". It matches the Rfam family "Bacterial large subunit ribosomal RNA". RNAcentral also lists the same sequence under 1 other name. Lineage: Bacteria; Pseudomonadati; Pseudomonadota; Gammaproteobacteria; Enterobacterales; Enterobacteriaceae. The record is from RNAcentral.
GGGUUGUGAGGUUAAGCGACUAAGCGUACACGGUGGAUGCCCUGGCAGUCAGAGGCGAUGAAGGACGUGCUAAUCUGCGAUAAGCGUCGGUAAGGUGAUAUGAACCGUUAUAACCGGCGAUUUCCGAAUGGGGAAACCCAGUGUGUUUCGACACACUAUCAUUAACUGAAUCCAUAGGUUAAUGAGGCGAACCGGGGGAACUGAAACAUCUAAGUACCCCGAGGAAAAGAAAUCAACCGAGAUUCCCCCAGUAGCGGCGAGCGAACGGGGAGCAGCCCAGAGCCUGAAUCAGUGUGUGUGUUAGUGGAAGCGUCUGGAAAGGCGCGCGAUACAGGGUGACAGCCCCGUACACAAAAAUGCACAUGCUGUGAGCUCGAUGAGUAGGGCGGGACACGUGGUAUCCUGUCUGAAUAUGGGGGGACCAUCCUCCAAGGCUAAAUACUCCUGACUGACCGAUAGUGAACCAGUACCGUGAGGGAAAGGCGAAAAGAACCCCGGCGAGGGGAGUGAAAAAGAACCUGAAACCGUGUACGUACAAGCAGUGGGAGCACGCUUAGGCGUGUGACUGCGUACCUUUUGUAUAAUGGGUCAGCGACUUAUAUUCUGUAGCAAGGUUAACCGAAUAGGGGAGCCGAAGGGAAACCGAGUCUUAACUGGGCGUUAAGUUGCAGGGUAUAGACCCGAAACCCGGUGAUCUAGCCAUGGGCAGGUUGAAGGUUGGGUAACACUAACUGGAGGACCGAACCGACUAAUGUUGAAAAAUUAGCGGAUGACUUGUGGCUGGGGGUGAAAGGCCAAUCAAACCGGGAGAUAGCUGGUUCUCCCCGAAAGCUAUUUAGGUAGCGCCUCGUGAAUUCAUCUCCGGGGGUAGAGCACUGUUUCGGCAAGGGGGUCAUCCCGACUUACCAACCCGAUGCAAACUGCGAAUACCGGAGAAUGUUAUCACGGGAGACACACGGCGGGUGCUAACGUCCGUCGUGAAGAGGGAAACAACCCAGACCGCCAGCUAAGGUCCCAAAGUCAUGGUUAAGUGGGAAACGAUGUGGGAAGGCCCAGACAGCCAGGAUGUUGGCUUAGAAGCAGCCAUCAUUUAAAGAAAGCGUAAUAGCUCACUGGUCGAGUCGGCCUGCGCGGAAGAUGUAACGGGGCUAAACCAUGCACCGAAGCUGCGGCAGCGACACUAUGUGUUGUUGGGUAGGGGAGCGUUCUGUAAGCCUGUGAAGGUGUGCUGUGAGGCAUGCUGGAGGUAUCAGAAGUGCGAAUGCUGACAUAAGUAACGAUAAAGCGGGUGAAAAGCCCGCUCGCCGGAAGACCAAGGGUUCCUGUCCAACGUUAAUCGGGGCAGGGUGAGUCGACCCCUAAGGCGAGGCCGAAAGGCGUAGUCGAUGGGAAACAGGUUAAUAUUCCUGUACUUGGUGUUACUGCGAAGGGGGGACGGAGAAGGCUAUGUUGGCCGGGCGACGGUUGUCCCGGUUUAAGCGUGUAGGCUGGUUUUCCAGGCAAAUCCGGAAAAUCAAGGCUGAGGCGUGAUGACGAGGCACUACGGUGCUGAAGCAACAAAUGCCCUGCUUCCAGGAAAAGCCUCUAAGCAUCAGGUAACAUCAAAUCGUACCCCAAACCGACACAGGUGGUCAGGUAGAGAAUACCAAGGCGCUUGAGAGAACUCGGGUGAAGGAACUAGGCAAAAUGGUGCCGUAACUUCGGGAGAAGGCACGCUGAUAUGUAGGUGAAGUCCCUCGCGGAUGGAGCUGAAAUCAGUCGAAGAUACCAGCUGGCUGCAACUGUUUAUUAAAAACACAGCACUGUGCAAACACGAAAGUGGACGUAUACGGUGUGACGCCUGCCCGGUGCCGGAAGGUUAAUUGAUGGGGUCAGCGCAAGCGAAGCUCUUGAUCGAAGCCCCGGUAAACGGCGGCCGUAACUAUAACGGUCCUAAGGUAGCGAAAUUCCUUGUCGGGUAAGUUCCGACCUGCACGAAUGGCGUAAUGAUGGCCAGGCUGUCUCCACCCGAGACUCAGUGAAAUUGAACUCGCUGUGAAGAUGCAGUGUACCCGCGGCAAGACGGAAAGACCCCGUGAACCUUUACUAUAGCUUGACACUGAACAUUGAGCCUUGAUGUGUAGGAUAGGUGGGAGGCUUGGAAGUGUGGACGCCAGUCUGCAUGGAGCCGACCUUGAAAUACCACCCUUUAAUGUUUGAUGUUCUAACGUUGACCCGUAAUCCGGGUUGCGGACAGUGUCUGGUGGGUAGUUUGACUGGGGCGGUCUCCUCCUAAAGAGUAACGGAGGAGCACGAAGGUUGGCUAAUCCUGGUCGGACAUCAGGAGGUUAGUGCAAUGGCAUAAGCCAGCUUGACUGCGAGCGUGACGGCGCGAGCAGGUGCGAAAGCAGGUCAUAGUGAUCCGGUGGUUCUGAAUGGAAGGGCCAUCGCUCAACGGAUAAAAGGUACUCCGGGGAUAACAGGCUGAUACCGCCCAAGAGUUCAUAUCGACGGCGGUGUUUGGCACCUCGAUGUCGGCUCAUCACAUCCUGGGGCUGAAGUAGGUCCCAAGGGUAUGGCUGUUCGCCAUUUAAAGUGGUACGCGAGCUGGGUUUAGAACGUCGUGAGACAGUUCGGUCCCUAUCUGCCGUGGGCGCUGGAGAACUGAGGGGGGCUGCUCCUAGUACGAGAGGACCGGAGUGGACGCAUCACUGGUGUUCGGGUUGUCAUGCCAAUGGCACUGCCCGGUAGCUAAAUGCGGAAGAGAUAAGUGCUGAAAGCAUCUAAGCACGAAACUUGCCCCGAGAUGAGUUCUCCCUGACUCCUUGAGAGUCCUGAAGGAACGUUGAAGACGACGACGUUGAUAGGCCGGGUGUGUAAGCGCAGCGAUGCGUUGAGCUAACCGGUACUAAUGAACCGUGAGGCUUAACCUUACAACGCCGAAGGUGUUU